UAACUUUAAGCGCCUGGACAUAUUAGUAUGUUGAAUCAGUAUGUUGACGAGGUCUAGAGUUAUCGAAAGAUUCGGCGGAUACUCUAGUGGUAUAUUACUACCAAAGGUAUAUAUAAAAAGCAAUUGUGAAAUUGUAACAAAGUAUAUACUAG
Molecule: non-coding RNA, 152 nt
Filed under: human gut metagenome
Description: glmS glucosamine-6-phosphate activated ribozyme
Rfam family: glmS glucosamine-6-phosphate activated ribozyme aptamer
About the family: This entry contains a glucosamine-6-phosphate activated ribozyme that is found in the mRNA for GlmS. GlmS is an enzyme that uses fructose-6-phosphate and glutamine to generate glucosamine-6-phosphate. The ribozyme catalyses self cleavage of the glmS mRNA that is thought to regulate GlmS activity.
Source: RNAcentral